RNAcentral lists this ribosomal RNA (374 nucleotides) under uncultured organism. RNAcentral describes it as "bacterial SSU rRNA". It matches the Rfam family "Bacterial small subunit ribosomal RNA", at positions 526 to 896 of the family's 1533-position model. The record is from RNAcentral.
CGGGGGGAGCAAGCGUUGUUCGGAUUUACUGGGCGUAAAGGGCGCGUAGGCGGUCAGCACAAGUCAGUUGUGAAAUCUCCGGGCUUAACUCGGAAAGGUCAACUGAUACUGUGCGACUAGAGUGCAGAAGGGGCAACUGGAAUUCUCGGUGUAGCGGUGAAAUGCGUAGAUAUCGAGAGGAACACCUGCGGCGAAGGCGGGUUGCUGGGCUGACACUGACGCUGAUGCGCGAAAGCCAGGGGAGCGAACGGGAUUAGAUACCCCGGUAGUCCUGGCCUUAAACGAUGGAUGCUUGGUGUCUGGAGUUUUAUAGUCUCCGGGUGCCGUAGCUAACGCGUUAAGCAUCCCGCCUGGGGAGUACGGUCGCAAGACUG